Mytilus californianus (California mussel) is the source of this 2682-nucleotide long non-coding RNA. RefSeq lists it as uncharacterized. The transcript is spliced from 3 exons. NCBI's taxonomy places the organism in Eukaryota, Metazoa, Mollusca, Bivalvia, Mytilida, Mytilidae. The record is from RefSeq and is a predicted model, not a curated record.
GGGGUCAAUUCGCAACAGCAAUGUAAAUUGCACAAAAGCAAAAAAUUGAAUAUAAAUUCAAAUCAUAUGACCAAUUCUAAGUUCUUUGACUACAGUUAUUCUGUGUCAGAAACCUAUUAUGUGUCAAAUAUUUAAUUACAAUCCAAAUUCAGACCUGUAUCAAGCGCGACUAUUGUGUCCAUUUUUGCCCCAACUGUUCAGGGUUGGACCUCUGCGGUCGUAUCCAGCUGCGCUCGGCGAAGCAAUUUAUUGCUUUAUACUUUAUAGUUAAAUACAUUUCUUGUUUUUUAUACGACCACAAAAAAAUAUUUGGGUUCGUAUAAUGCUAUGAUGUUGUCGUUGGUGUCAUCGUCAUCAUCGUUGUCCGAAGACACAUUUGGUUUCUGGACAAUAAUUUUAGUUUAAGUGUAUGGAUCUCUAUGAAAUUUUACAAGAAGGUUCAAUACCACAAAAGGAAGGUUGGGAUUAAUUUUGGGGGUUAUGGAACCAACAGUUUAGGAAUUAGGGGCCAAAAACAAGCAUUUUUAUACGACCGCAAAAAAAUUUUUGUGGUCGUAUAUUGGUAUGACGUUGGCGUCGUCGUCGUUGUCAUUGUCGUCGUCCGAAGACACAUUAGUUUUUCGCACUCUAACUUUAGUUUAAGUGAAUGGAUCUCAAUGAAAUUUUACCAUAAGGUUCAAUACCACAAAAGGAAGGUGGGGAUUGAUUUUGGGGGUUAUGGUACCAACAGUUAAGGAAUUAGGGGCCAAAAAGGGGCCAAAAAUAAGCAUUUUUGUAACUUCCAGACAUAACUUGUGUGUAAGUGUAUGGAUCUCUCUGACAUUGUACCACAAGGUUCCAUAUCACAAAGGGAAUGCUGGGAUUGAUUUUGGGGGUAAUUGCCUCCAAAUUUUAGGAAUUAGGGGCCAAAAAGGGGAAAAAAACAAGCAUUUUUCUAGUUUCAUGACAAUAACUUGUGUGUAAGUCUAUGGAUCUCUCUGAAAUUGUAUCACAAGGUUCCAUAUCACAAAGGGAAUGCUGGGAUUGAUUUUGGGGGUAAUUGCCUCCAAAUUUUAGGAAUUAAGGGCAAAAAAGGGGCAAAAAACAAGCAUUUUUCUAGUUUCAUGACAAUAACUUGUGUGUAAGUGUAUGGAUCUUUAUGAAAUUGUACUACAAGGUUCCAUAUCACAAAGGGAAGGCUGGGAUUGAGUUUUGGGGUAAUUGCCCUAAACAUGCAGGAAUUAAGGGCAAAAAAGGGGCCAAAAAUAAGCAUUUUUAUACAACCGCAAAAAAAUUUUUGUGGUCGUAUAUUGGUAUGACGUUGGCGUCGUCGUCGUCGUCGUCCGGCGUCGUCGUCCGAAUACCUAUUAGUUUUCGCACUCUAACUUUAGUUUAAGUGAAUGGAUCUCAAUGAAAUUUUACCAUAAGGUUCAAUACCACAAAAGGAAGGUGGGGAUUGAUUUUGGGGGUUAUGGUACUAACAGUUAAGGAAUUAGGGGCCAAAAGGGGCCAAAAAUAAGCAUUUUUGUAACUUCCAGACAUAACUUGUGUGUAAGUGUAUGGAUCUCUCUGACAUUGUACCACAAGGUUCCAUAUCACAAAGGGAAUGCUGGGAUUGAUUUUGGGGGUAAUUGCCUCCAAAUUUUAGGAAUUGGGGGCCAAAAAGGGGCAAAAAACAAACAUUUUUCUAGUUUCAUGACAAUAUCUUGUUUGUAAGUGUAUGGAUCUUUAUGAAAUUGUACUACAAGGUUCCAUAUCACAAAGGGAAAGCUGGAAUUGAGUUUGGGGGUAAUUGCCCUAAACGUUUAGGAAUUUGGGGCCAAAAAGGGGCCAAAAAACAAGCAUUUUUCUAGUUUCCAGACAAUAACUUGUGUUCAAGUGUAUGGAUCUCUCUGAAAUUGUACUGCAAGGUACCAUACCACAAAGGGAAAGCUGGGAUUGAGUUUGGGGGUGAUGAAUCAUAAGGGGGUUCAAAAAAUUGGGGGGGGAUUUUUUUUUCCUUUUUUUUCUUUAACAUUUUCCAUUUUAAAUUGGUUAUUUCUGAUUUAUAUAUAAAAGCAAAUAAUAAUGAUAUGGUUUGAAUAGGCAUACAUGUGAACCUCCCGACGGGAGUACAAUAAUCCCGUUUUCAGGGGUCUCCUCCCGACCUCCCGUUGAAGAGGAAAAAAUCCCGUGUAUGAAAUUUUUCAUGAAUGAAAAAUUUCUGCCCAACAUAUCAUCUCAGGCAUCUGGUGUAACUGACAUUACCUGAAGUUAUAUUUUACCUGUAAAUCAAUUAACAUGCAUAAUUAUAUGGCUUCACUUGUCAGCUUGGGUGUCAAACAUACAGGUAAUCAACGAUUUUUACCUCAGGCUAACUGCCGUUGUGUAACAAAAACUGUGUAUUUAUUGGGUUACUUCCCUUGAUUUAUCCUGUUUUAAGUUACUUUCCUUUUAAUAAUGAAAAUUUUUAAAAGAAUAUAAAUAAAAUAUAAAUUGAACAAAUAAUCAUAAAAGGAUGGUUAUUAAAUGAUUUUAAAUGUUUUAGGACAAAUAAAAAAAUAAUAAUUUGAAAAUUAUUUGAGGACUCUAGACUUCCUUUCAAGGCUUAAAUUGAAAUUUAUAUAAUAACUAUGACCCUAAAUUUACAGAUAAAAUGAUUUUCUGAAUUUGCAAAUAAAAACUAUAUGCAAGAGAAAAAAAAAAAUAAAAACUAUUUGCAAA